This is a long non-coding RNA of Homo sapiens (human), 1024 nucleotides long. Ensembl annotates it as long intergenic non-protein coding RNA 2380. Lineage: Eukaryota; Metazoa; Chordata; Mammalia; Primates; Hominidae. The record is from Ensembl.
AUUUCAGUUUGAGUCUGAAGGCAGGAAAAGACUGAUGUCCCAUCUCAAAGCAGUCAGGCAGAGGGAGUUCCCUCUUGUUCUCACUCAAGGAAGGAUGGCGCAGUGCUCCCGCUGUUCCGAGGCUCAGCUACCCUGAGGGAGGCAGGGAAUUUUGAUCAGCUUCUGAAGAAUCACCUCAUCUCUCCCCGCAGAGAGCACAGAGCACAGGACUUCACGUUAUGUCAACAUCUCUUGCAAAAGCCCAGCUCCUAGAGAGCAGGAGCCUUCCCAGACUGUGUCAAAUUACCUCGGGGAUGGAGAGACUUACAUGGCAUUAAUAGAAAUCAAAUGGCAGAGCUCGGGUUUCUGAUGAGUCUCCUGAGGUUCAGAAGGGUGAGAUGACACAUUCAAGGUCACAUGGCUCAUUUGUGUUGGAGUCAGAAGUUUCCAGAUUUCUUGACUUUUAGUCCAAGGAGCAGUCCCUGUGCAUGUGUCAGAGUUGAACAAGCCAGGGUUUUGGCUUAAAGUCUGACUGUAUGAGGGCAUGUCAAGAAGAGCUGGACUGAGUGCCCAUGACCUCAGGGACAUCUUGGAAGCUAUAUGUAGAAGAUGGAAAAGCCUCUGUCAUCUCCAUCAAUUUAAUCUCCAAAUAACUACUUAGAAAAGGGACAGCUUACUAACUCCUUCAUUGCCCAGUACUAUUAGCUAAAAACAUUAUAACAGGAGAUUCAAAUUCUACAUGGUGGGAGCAAAAGUGGAUCUUGUUUUUCUAUAGCAACAUGGUUGACCUUCAUAGUGAAGUUUGAAUCUGACAGCAUUCAUGCUCAAAUGUCCAAGCCCUGCAUUUCUGAUACCAUGGAAUCACAAGCACGCUGUGUGAUACUGUGCAGCAUUUGAUCCUGCCUGACUUCUGUGUCUCAGCCUAUCAACGAAGAUAUUUAUAGCUGCCUUAUGCCAACGUACUUUUUAAAGCUGGGUAAUACCAGUGUAAGAUGGUCACAUUUAUCUUGAAAGCCGAGGUAGGGUACCAUGUGUGCUCCCUGAA